CGAACGGGUGAGUAAUGCGUGACCAACCUGCCCCAUGCUCCAGAAUAGCUCUUGGAAACGGGUGGUAAUGCUGGAUGCUCAACUUGACGCAUGUCUUGUUGGGAAAGUGUUUAGUGGCAUGGGAUGGGGUCGCGUCCUAUCAGCUUGUAGGCGGGGUAAUGGCCCACCUAGGCUUCGACGGGUAGCCGGCCUGAGAGGGCGGACGGCCACAUUGGGACUGAGAUACGGCCCAGACUCCUACGGGAGGCAGCAGCC
Molecule: ribosomal RNA, 255 nt
Filed under: uncultured Gardnerella sp.
Lineage: Bacteria; Bacillati; Actinomycetota; Actinomycetes; Bifidobacteriales; Bifidobacteriaceae
Description: partial 16S ribosomal RNA
Rfam family: Bacterial small subunit ribosomal RNA
Source: RNAcentral